ACUCCUACGGGAGGCAGCAGUGGGGAAUAUUGCACAAUGGGCGCAAGCCUGAUGCAGCCAUGCCGCGUGUAUGAAGAAGGCCUUCGGGUUGUAAAGUACUUUCAGCGGGGAGGAAGGCGAUAAGGUUAAUAACCUUGUUGAUUGACGUUACCCGCAGAAGAAGCACCGGCUAACUCCGUGCCAGCAGCCGCGGUAAUACGGAGGGUGCAAGCGUUAAUCGGAAUUACUGGGCGUAAAGCGCACGCAGGCGGUCUGUCAAGUCGGAUGUGAAAUCCCCGGGCUCAACCUGGGAACUGCAUUCGAAACUGGCAGGCUAGAGUCUUGUAGAGGGGGGUAGAAUUCCAGGUGUAGCGGUGAAAUGCGUAGAGAUCUGGAGGAAUACCGGUGGUGAAGGCGGCCCCCUGGACAAAGACUGACGCUCAGGUGCGAAAGCGUGGGGAGCAAACAGGAUUAGAAACCCCAGUAGUCCCAUGA
Molecule: ribosomal RNA, 474 nt
Filed under: uncultured organism
Description: partial 16S ribosomal RNA
Rfam family: Bacterial small subunit ribosomal RNA
Source: RNAcentral